Molecule: transfer RNA, 85 nt
Filed under: Psychromonas arctica
Lineage: Bacteria; Pseudomonadati; Pseudomonadota; Gammaproteobacteria; Alteromonadales; Psychromonadaceae
Also listed under: 12 other names
Description: tRNA-Leu
Rfam family: tRNA
About the family: Transfer RNA (tRNA) molecules are approximately 80 nucleotides in length. Their secondary structure includes four short double-helical elements and three loops (D, anti-codon, and T loops). Further hydrogen bonds mediate the characteristic L-shaped molecular structure. tRNAs have two regions of fundamental functional importance: the anti-codon, which is responsible for specific mRNA codon recognition, and the 3' end, to which the tRNAs corresponding amino acid is attached (by aminoacyl-tRNA synthetases). tRNAs cope with the degeneracy of the genetic code in two manners: having more than one tRNA (with a specific anti-codon) for a particular amino acid; and 'wobble' base-pairing, i.e. permitting non-standard base-pairing at the 3rd anti-codon position.
Source: RNAcentral
GCCCGAGUGGUGAAAUUGGUAGACGCGACGGAUUCAAAAUCCGUUUCCGAGAGGAGUGACGGUUCAAGUCCGUCCUCGGGCACCA